This 253-nucleotide ribosomal RNA is filed under the name uncultured bacterium. RNAcentral's name for it is "partial 16S ribosomal RNA". It matches the Rfam family "Bacterial small subunit ribosomal RNA", at positions 524 to 776 of the family's 1533-position model. The record is from RNAcentral.
UACGGGGGGGGCAAGCGUUGUUCGGAAUUACUGGGCGUAAAGGGCUCGUAGGUGGCCAACUAAGUCAGACGUGAAAUCCCUCGGCUUAACCGGGGAACUGCGUCUGAUACUGGAUGGCUUGAGUUCGGGAGAGGGAUGCGGAAUUCCAGGUGUAGCGGUGAAAUGCGUAGAUAUGGGGAGGAACACCGGUGGCGAAGGCGGCCACCUGGACGGUAACUGACGCUGAGACGCGAAAGCGUGGGGAGCGAACAGG